UCCAUGUGGUGCUUUAGACAUUCUUAAGUUUGGCUUCUAUAUUUUGUCACGACCUGAAAUUUCACAAGGAUCCGUGAUCAGCACCUGACAACCCCUAGCCGAGCGAACAAUCCCUUUAAGCAUUUUCAUAAAACUUCUAAGUAUAAAAGCUACAAUUUAAUGAGAAGGAGUUCUUAAUAUCAUAACCCAAAAGAUAAUCAACUCCAAAGUACAUAGCUGAAUCCAUGAGCUGAAUCCAACAACAGAGUCAAAGCCUAAAGGAGCAUCUUAAAGUCAAGUGGGACGCAACCACAGGACUGGGGUGGUUGACUCACCAAUGGAUCACAAAUGCUGAUCUGCUCACACACUCAGUUUACUGGCACUUGGAACUGUCAGUGCGGUUGUGGCAAGACUUCCCAAAAUCAUCAAUAGAAUAUGACAAGUAAACCAGACAAUUAUCAACAUGAACUGAAAAUCAUGAUAUAAUUGAGGCUACAGUGGUAUGAAGACAGAGUGAUUAACAUGAAUGAAAAGUUGAAUCAAAUGAAAGCAUCAAUAGGGUUAAAGAGGAAUAUGCUGAAGAUUAGUAGACUACUGGGGAUAAAAUUUUCGGAUAUUGAAGAUAAACUUUUAGAACUUUUGUUACGUAUUGAAGAGGGAAGGUCCAAGAAGCAUUCUUCUGUGUGCAAGGCAUCUCCUGGCAGGAAGGGUGAGAGGGAAUUGAAAGCCUUAGAAUUCGGAAUGGGAUUUAAAGGCGAAUCCAGCAAUGGCGGACGAAGUAGGGGCAGGAGGAUUUCAAUUAAUGAUAAAUGAAUUUGAAAUGCUUUUGUUGGAAUGCGAGGGG
Molecule: long non-coding RNA, 823 nt
Organism: Lycium ferocissimum
Lineage: Eukaryota; Viridiplantae; Streptophyta; Magnoliopsida; Solanales; Solanaceae
Exons: 2
Source: RefSeq, a predicted model, not a curated record